Molecule: long non-coding RNA, 936 nt
Organism: Magnolia sinica
Lineage: Eukaryota; Viridiplantae; Streptophyta; Magnoliopsida; Magnoliales; Magnoliaceae
Exons: 3
Source: RefSeq, a predicted model, not a curated record
UGUGUAGUUUUGCAAUAUUCCCCACCUUCUUUCAUCUACCACUAUGCGUCCAAGUCACAACUACUUAAAUGCAGCAAAACUUGCAUUUGAAAUAACCAUAUAAUCUUCCAAACAUCAGUCAGUUUCAGCUGAUCAUCAGAUUGGUGGAGAUUAUUUGGAUGCAGCAAAACUUUCAUUCAUGAGAAGACAGGACCCAAACCAUGAUUCCAUAUGUUCCAAAUUGGGCCUAAAAUAUUUUUAAAUUACAUUUUGUGCAUCUUCACUCGUUAUAAAUGGAGUUGGACUAGUACAGCUUUUGCUAUUUUGAAUUAUCACAAUUUGACUCUUCGACGAAACUGCAACUUUGUUCCCAAAGGCUGCAAGGCUGAGGAACCUGACUUACUCUGCACCAUUGUAUGUGGGUGUCACAAAACAUGUCAUAAAGAAAGGGCAUGACUGUGAAGAAGUCACAGAGACACAGGAGUUCACCAAAGUUUUCAUUGGGAAGGUUCCUAUAAUGCUGCGGUCUAGUUAUUUUACGCUGUACCAGAAUUCAGAAAAAGAUCUAACAGAACUCAGGGAAUGUCCAUAUGACCAAGGGCUCUUCAGGGCAGUAUAUUCGGGCUACUCUUCCUUAUAUUUGGACAGAAAUGCCAAUAAUUAUUGUGUUUCGAGCAUUAGGGUUUGUUGCCGACAAGGAUAUAUUAGAGCAUAUGUGCUAUGACUUUUCUGAUACUCAGAUGAUGAAAUUAAUUCCAUCUAAUGCAAUUCCAUACCAUUUAAUCCUGUGGUCCAUACUCAGUUAUUCUUAAGUAUUCACUGCAUGUUUUGUUGGCCAGAUUGUAGUUCUGAUUGGAAAAGGUCCUAGUGGCCUGGAUAUCUGUAGAGAUAUUUCAAAAUUAGCUAAAGAAGUCCACCUAACAUCAAGAUCCAUAGAUGUUGAAGUUGCGAAGUUGG